Molecule: ribosomal RNA, 253 nt
Filed under: uncultured bacterium
Lineage: Bacteria
Description: partial 16S ribosomal RNA
Rfam family: Bacterial small subunit ribosomal RNA
Source: RNAcentral
UACAGAGGUCUCAAGCGUUGUCCGGAAUUAUUGGGCGUAAAGGGCUCGUAGGCGGUCUGUCGCGUCGGGAGUGAAAACUCAGGGCUUAACCCUGAGCCUGCUUCCGAUACGGGCAGACUAGAGGUAUGCAGGGGAGAACGGAAUUCCUGGUGUAGCGGUGAAAUGCGCAGAUAUCAGGAGGAACACCGGUGGCGAAGGCGGUUCUCUGGGCAUUACCUGACGCUGAGGAGCGAAAGUGUGGGGAGCGAACAGG